This 65-nucleotide transfer RNA is filed under the name Bifidoprionus rufus. Its description in RNAcentral is "tRNA-Pro". The record is from RNAcentral. Lineage: Eukaryota; Metazoa; Arthropoda; Insecta; Coleoptera; Cerambycidae.
CAGGGAGUAGUUUAAUUAAAAUUUUAAUUUUGGAGAUUAAAGAUGAAGACUUACUUUCUCUCUGA